RNAcentral lists this unclassified non-coding RNA (365 nucleotides) under uncultured bacterium. RNAcentral describes it as "contains 16S-23S intergenic spacer region". The record is from RNAcentral.
UCUAGGUUGUCCUAGCAGUCUAUUUAGAGUUCUCAACUAAAUGGUAGCAACUAAAUAUGAGGGUUGCGUUCGUUAUAGCACUUAAGCAUACGCUUCACAGCACGAACUGACGACGACCAUGCACCACCUGUGUCGGGAUAACCUCCAUUGAGUUUCCUCAACUUUGCCCUCCAUGUCAAACCUUGGUAAGGUUCUGCGCGUCGUAUCGAAUUAAACCACAUGCUCCACCGCUUGUGCGGGUCCCCGUCAAUUCCUUUGAGUUUUAGCCUUGCGGCCGUAGUCCCCAGGCGGAGCAUUUAAAGCGUUAGCUGCGACACUAGGCAAAUGCCUAAUAUCUAAUGCUCAUCGUUUAGGGCGUGGACUAC